This 257-nucleotide ribosomal RNA is filed under the name uncultured bacterium. Its description in RNAcentral is "partial 16S ribosomal RNA". It matches the Rfam family "Bacterial small subunit ribosomal RNA", at positions 526 to 779 of the family's 1533-position model. The record is from RNAcentral.
CAGAGGGUGCGAGCGUUAAUCGGAAUUACUGGGCGUAAAGGGUGCGUAGGUGGUUUGUAAGUUAGAUGUGAAAUUACCUGGGCGUUAACCUGGGGACGUGCGUCUGAUACUGCGAAGCUAGAGUACUGUAGAGGGAAGUGGAAUUUCCGGUGUAGCAGUGAAAUGCGUAGAUAUCGGAAGGAACAUCAGUGGCGAAGGCGACUUCCUGGACAGAUACUGACACUGAGGCACGAAAGCGUGGGGGAGCAAACAGGAUU